RNAcentral lists this long non-coding RNA (373 nucleotides) under Capsicum annuum. RNAcentral describes it as "long non-coding RNA (CANN_LNC006340)". Lineage: Eukaryota; Viridiplantae; Streptophyta; Magnoliopsida; Solanales; Solanaceae. The record is from RNAcentral.
UUCAACUAGAUAUCCACUGACCUCCGUAUUUUAUCAUUAUUGAAACUAAAACUGAAGUUGAAGCCGUUAUUUUGUAUCAAUUUUGAGCAAAUUUACAAUGGAAAAAAAUUAUAGGAAGCUAAUUGAAUGCAGAUUUUUGGAGACUUUAUACAAAAUUUAUGGAAUAAGAAAGAUUAAUUGAAGUAUCGAAAGAGGUAAAAGAAUGGAGGUUUGGGAGUUUGAAUGGAAAGGAAAUUGUGAAUGAAAAGAAAAGAAAGAAAGAAAGAAAAAGUUACUUUAAUGACAUUUUCGAUUAUGUUUAAGCGUAUGACAGUGAAGGUUAGCUAGUGAAAUUAGUUUGUGGCUAUUUAUAGGGUAUUUAAUUUUGAGUGCU